GUGUUUAAUGUCCCUAUAAGUUUGCUAUUGAGAUGUAGCUUAAAUUAAAUAGAUUAAAUACUUCAUUAUAAAUAGCACAAUAUUUAGAAUCUUGGAUCUGAAAAAAACAAUAAAAAUCGCUAGAACUGGGCUGUAAUGCGUUCUAGAUCCCUUUAUUUAACCCCACUCUAAAUCAGCUCAUUUAUAGCCCCCAACCUUGUGGGUUUUUUUUAUUAAAUUGUGCGGUUCUGGCACAAACAUUCCCAUUUUUUAAAAUUCAAAAUUAAACUUUUAUGAUUCAGAUAGUGCAUGUAUUUUUAAACAACUUUCCAAUUUACUUAUGUUAUCUAAUUUUCUCUUGUUAUCCAUUGUUGAAAGCAUACCUAGGUACUCCCAGUAGUACAUUGCUGCUCCCUCAAUAAAGUAUACCAAGAGAAUUAAGCUAAGUGUUAAAAUUGGAAGUAGGUUAAAAUUAUAUGCUCUAUCUGAAUCAGGAAAAAAAUGUCCCUUUAAGCUAUUGCAAUUUAUGCUAUUUUGUAACAGAUGUACAUUUGAACAAAGAUAUAAAUAUUUCAAACAAAA
This is a long non-coding RNA of Bombina bombina (fire-bellied toad), 561 nucleotides long. RefSeq lists it as uncharacterized. The record is from RefSeq and is a predicted model, not a curated record. Lineage: Eukaryota; Metazoa; Chordata; Amphibia; Anura; Bombinatoridae. The transcript is spliced from 2 exons.